CGCUGGCGGCGUGCUUAACACAUGCAAGUCGAGCGAUGAAGCUCCUUCGGGAGUGGAUUAGCGGCGGACGGGUGAGUAACACGUGGGUAACCUGCCUCAUAGAGGGGAAUAGCCUUUCGAAAGGAAGAUUAAUACCGCAUAAGAUUGUAGUACCGCAUGGUACAGCAAUUAAAGGAGUAAUCCGCUAUGAGAUGGACCCGCGUCGCAUUAGCUAGUUGGUGAGGUAACGGCUCACCAAGGCGACGAUGCGUAGCCGACCUGAGAGGGUGAUCGGCCACAUUGGGACUGAGACACGGCCCAGACUCCUACGGGAGGCAGCAGUGGGGAAUAUCGCACAAUGGGGGAAACCCUGAUGCCAGCAACGCCGCGUGAGUGAUGACGGCCUUCGGGUUGUAAAACUCUGUCUUUGGGGACGAUAAUGACGGUGCCCAAGGAGGAAGCCACGGCUAACUACGUGCCAGCAGCGGC
This 468-nucleotide ribosomal RNA is filed under the name uncultured bacterium. RNAcentral's name for it is "bacterial SSU rRNA". It matches the Rfam family "Bacterial small subunit ribosomal RNA", at positions 34 to 518 of the family's 1533-position model. The record is from RNAcentral.